Molecule: transfer RNA, 72 nt
Filed under: Camelus bactrianus (Bactrian camel)
Lineage: Eukaryota; Metazoa; Chordata; Mammalia; Artiodactyla; Camelidae
Also listed under: 1 other name
Rfam family: tRNA
About the family: Transfer RNA (tRNA) molecules are approximately 80 nucleotides in length. Their secondary structure includes four short double-helical elements and three loops (D, anti-codon, and T loops). Further hydrogen bonds mediate the characteristic L-shaped molecular structure. tRNAs have two regions of fundamental functional importance: the anti-codon, which is responsible for specific mRNA codon recognition, and the 3' end, to which the tRNAs corresponding amino acid is attached (by aminoacyl-tRNA synthetases). tRNAs cope with the degeneracy of the genetic code in two manners: having more than one tRNA (with a specific anti-codon) for a particular amino acid; and 'wobble' base-pairing, i.e. permitting non-standard base-pairing at the 3rd anti-codon position.
Source: Rfam by way of RNAcentral
GGUGGUAUAGCUCAGUGGUACAGCAUAUGCUUAGCAUGCACAAGGUCCUGGGUUCAAUCCCCCGUACCUCCA